RNAcentral lists this ribosomal RNA (219 nucleotides) under uncultured bacterium. RNAcentral's name for it is "partial 16S ribosomal RNA". It matches the Rfam family "Bacterial small subunit ribosomal RNA", at positions 111 to 334 of the family's 1533-position model. The record is from RNAcentral.
UAAUAUAUCGGAACGUACCCUGGAGUGGGGAUAACGUAGCGAAAGUUACGCUAAUACCGCAUACGAUCUAAGGAUGAAAGUGGGGGAUCGCAAGACCUCAUGCUCCUGGAGCGGCCGAUAUCUGAUUAGCUAGUUGGUAGGGUAAAAGCCUACCAAGGCAUCGAUCAGUAGCUGGUCUGAGAGGACGACCAGCCACACUGGAACUGAGACACGGUCCAG